AUUAAGACUCAUGAGCAGGAAACAGGAGUGUGAAUCUUCUUGAGAAUAAAGCAGAGCAGGAAAUUGGUCCCCAAAUGUCAGAAAAAUAAGUGAAAAUCACUAAAUCAACGGCCUGAUCAUGUCUAAUUCCAGGCAACAAGGGGAAUGACCCUACUCUCUGAAAUUACUCUCUAAUUCUCUGAAUGGUUUUCGUCCAUUCACUUUGCCGUUUUGAUAUCAGCCAGAAUGAUACGGUAGGUUUUCCAUAUCUGGCGGUAAUAAAGUAUAGAGGCUAGCACGGAAACAUGAGUGAAUAUCUAGCCCCAACUUAAGAAGCUC
Solanum pennellii is the source of this 318-nucleotide long non-coding RNA. RefSeq lists it as uncharacterized. The record is from RefSeq and is a predicted model, not a curated record. The transcript is spliced from 2 exons. Lineage: Eukaryota; Viridiplantae; Streptophyta; Magnoliopsida; Solanales; Solanaceae.